This 466-nucleotide ribosomal RNA is filed under the name uncultured bacterium. RNAcentral describes it as "bacterial SSU rRNA". It matches the Rfam family "Bacterial small subunit ribosomal RNA", at positions 338 to 795 of the family's 1533-position model. The record is from RNAcentral.
CCUACGGGGGGCAGCAGUGAGGAAUUUUGCGCAAUGGGCGAAAGCCUGACGCAGCGACGCCGCGUGGAGGAUGAAGGCCUUCGGGUUGUAAACUCCUUUCGACCGGAAAGAAACGCCAUUUGGCUAACACCCAAGUGGUUUGACGGUACCGGGAGAAGAAGCCACGGCUAACUCUGUGCCAGCAGCCGCGGUAAGACAGAGGUGGCGAGCGUUGUUCGGAUUUACUGGGCGUAAAGAGUUCGUAGGCGGUUAUAUAUGUCUGUUGUGAAAUCCCGAGGCUUAACCUCGGAACUGCAUCAGAAACGGUAUGGCUAGAGGACAGGAGGGGGAAGCGGAAUUCCAUGUGUAGCGGUGAAAUGCGUAGAUAUAUGGAAGAACACCGGUGGCGAAGGCGGCUUCCUGGACUGUCCCUGACGCUGAGGAACGAAAGCGUGGGUAGCAAACAGGAUUAGAUACCCCGGUAGUC